Long non-coding RNA from Mytilus californianus (California mussel), 572 nucleotides. RefSeq lists it as uncharacterized. Lineage: Eukaryota; Metazoa; Mollusca; Bivalvia; Mytilida; Mytilidae. The record is from RefSeq and is a predicted model, not a curated record. The transcript is spliced from 2 exons.
AUUAGGCCUACUUAUACAUGUUAUAAGCCUCAUGGUGAUAGUCAGUAAUUUAUCUGGAGGAAAAUGAACAAGGAAGAUACAAAAAGUACAUGUAGUCUUCAGUUCCAGAACAGACAUAGUUGUCAGAAUUUUUUUUUUUUAAUUAUCUGGUUUAUCUGUUCAAAUAAAGACAGAAGAAAUCUAUCUAUUACUAAAAUAUAACUGUUCUGAACUGCAUUUUAUUUAAUGAACGUAUAGCACUGUCAACAUGUACAAUGUACCUGACAACAAACAAGCAACAAUCUUUUAGUUCACAAGUACAACAGCUUGAUCCAUAUGUGAUCCAAAAUGUGCAGAAUGCUAUUAUGGUGGGAGGUUCAAAUUCACUUUAUACUUCUCUACUUUGAAUAUUAUAUCCUAUAUCACCUUCAUUGCUGGUGAUCAUCAUGUCAUGUACAUGUAGAACUUAUUUUUAAACUUCUAUUGGAAACCAAAUUGGUCAAAUAUGUCUUCAUAACGAGUUGAAAAUAUGGAAUGUCUUGGACUAGGUACUGUGGCUUCCAAAGAUUUAAAGAUUGUCUGAUGGUCUUAAA